RNAcentral lists this ribosomal RNA (119 nucleotides) under Oncorhynchus kisutch (coho salmon). Lineage: Eukaryota; Metazoa; Chordata; Actinopteri; Salmoniformes; Salmonidae. The record is from RNAcentral.
GCUUAUGACCACACCGGCCUGAGUACGCCUGAUCUCGUCUGAUCUCGGAAUCUAAGCAGGGUCGGGCCUGGUUAGUACUUGGAUGGGAGACCGCCUGGGAAUACCAGGUGCUGUAAGCU